GACGAACGCUGGCGGCGUGCUUAACACAUGCAAGUCGAACGCGCCUGUCCUCUGGGUUUCUGGGGGGUGGGUGAGUGGCGAACGGGUGAGUAACACGUGAGUAACCUGCCCCCUUCUUCGGGAUAACGGUCUGAAAGGGCUGCUAAUACCGGGUAUUCACUGGUCUCCGCAUGGGGUCUGGUGGAAAGGUUUUUUUCUGGUGGGGGCUGGGCUCGCGGCCUAUCAGUUUGUUGGUGGGGUGAUGGCCCACCCAGGCUUUGACGGGUAGCCGGCCUGGGAGGGUGCCUGGGCACGUGGGGGGUGAGAUAGGGCCCAGAAUACUACGGGGGGCAGCAGGGGGGAAUAUUGCACAAUGGGCGCAAGCCUGGUGCAGCGACGGCGCGUGAGGGAUGGAGGGCGUCGGGUUGUGAACCGCUUUCGCCCGUGGUCAAGCCGGGACGGGGGUGGUGGUGAGGGUAGUGGGUAAAGAAGCGCCGGCUAACUACGUG
RNAcentral lists this ribosomal RNA (488 nucleotides) under uncultured bacterium. RNAcentral's name for it is "partial 16S ribosomal RNA". It matches the Rfam family "Bacterial small subunit ribosomal RNA", at positions 28 to 507 of the family's 1533-position model. The record is from RNAcentral.